GCGAACUAGAAAAUCCCUCCCCCUCCCUUGCGACGACAGCGACUUCUCGUCGUCGCCACCGCCACCACACGCCGCCACUUGGGGCGGCACCGGUUCCGUUGGAACCACCACACUUCCUUCUUUCCGUUCCAACCUACCGCCACCUCGAUCUGCCGCUGCCGUCGCCGGAAACAGCCACGAAACGUAGCGGUUUUGACAGAUUUUUACCGAACUUUCGGCCUCUCGUUCUCUCUCAUUUCUCCACCAAAUUUGACGAGUAAGGUACUCCGACUACGCAUACACAGCAGGCGGGACCCUCUCAGGGUCAAGCAGCGUGGGACUACUUCCAGUAGUUGACUGAGCUCCGCAGCAGAGCCGGAUCGUGUGCUUCCGAGCU
Molecule: long non-coding RNA, 376 nt
Organism: Prunus persica (peach)
Lineage: Eukaryota; Viridiplantae; Streptophyta; Magnoliopsida; Rosales; Rosaceae
Exons: 3
Source: RefSeq, a predicted model, not a curated record